CUCACGUUGCUGUAGAUGUGCUGCAGCGCCUCGCGGGCGCUGGGCACGCCCAGGUCGGUGUUGAGCACCAGGCGCAGCCCCGAGGGCGUCUCCAGGUAAUGCAGCCGGUACUUGCUGGUGUGGAACGACACGAACCCGUCCCGCCUGCGCGCUAAGGAGCCCAAAAAAUCCCCAAAAUCCCCAAAAUCCCCGAAAUUCCCCAAAUCCCCCGCCCCCCCAAUCCCGGGGAAUCGCCUCCAGCCGCCAGAGCCACCCCCAGACCCCGAAAUCCGCUUCAAAAUCGCCCCAAAUCUGACCCAAAUCUUGAAGGUUUGGCGCUCUUCAAAACACCAAAAUUCCCAAAAUUCCCCAAAAUUCCCCAAAUUCCCCCAAAUUCCCCAAAUUCCCCCAAAUUCCCCAAAAUUCCCGAGGCUUCAGAAUCCCCUCAGAUCCCCCCCGAAUCUCUCUCGGCUCUCCAGGAGCUCAAAUCCCCCGAAUUCCCGAAUUCCAGAGGGUCCCCAAACCCUCGGGAUUCUCCCAGACCCCAAAUCCCCCCAAAUUCCCAAAAUCCUCACCCAAAAUCUCCGAAUCCCUCGGGAUUUUUUUGGGAUUCCUCCCCCCCGGAUUUUUUUAGGACCCCCCUGGAAUUUUUUGGGAUCGGCUGAAGCUCCAGGGGGAUCCAAAGAUCCCCAAAAAAACCCCAAUUGCUCCCAAAAUUCCCCCAAAAAACCCAAAUUCCUCCCAAAAUUCCCCCAAAAUCCCCCCAAAUCCUCAUCCAGGAUCCCCCCAUCCCCCAUUUUUUGGGAUCUGAUCCCCUUUUUUGGGAUUUCCCGGGGUUUUUUGGGAUCCCAAAUCCCGAAUUUUCGGAUACAUGUCCGUGGGGCUCAUCUUGGCCACGAAGGAGCGGAGCGAGAAAAGCAUCCCAAACAUCAGCUUGAAUUCCUGGGAAUUUGGGAAAAUUUGGGGAAUUCUGGGGGAUUUUGGGAGAAUUUCCAGACUUCCAAACUCCCAAUUCCCAAAAUUUCCCCGAAUUCCCCAUCCCAAAGC
RNAcentral lists this long non-coding RNA (1026 nucleotides) under Parus major (Great Tit). Its description in RNAcentral is "lncRNA (ENSPMJG00000002510.1)". The record is from RNAcentral. Lineage: Eukaryota; Metazoa; Chordata; Aves; Passeriformes; Paridae.